This 253-nucleotide ribosomal RNA is filed under the name uncultured bacterium. Its description in RNAcentral is "partial 16S ribosomal RNA". It matches the Rfam family "Bacterial small subunit ribosomal RNA", at positions 524 to 776 of the family's 1533-position model. The record is from RNAcentral.
UACAGAGGUCUCAAGCGUUGUUCGGAUUCAUUGGGCGUAAAGAGCGUGUAGGCGGCCAGGUAGGUCUGGUGUGAAAACUCGAGGCUCAACCUCGAGAGGUCAUCGGAAACCAUUUGGCUAGAGUCCGGAAGAGGAGAGUGGAAUUCCCGGUGUAGCGGUGAAAUGCGCAGAUAUCGGGAAGAACACCUAUGGCGAAGGCAGCUCUCUGGGACGGUACUGACGCUGAGACGCGAAAGCGUGGGGAGCGAACAGG